GCUUACGGCCAUACCAGCCUGAAUACGCCCGAUCUCGUCCGAUCUCGGAAGCUAAGCAGGGUCGGGCCUGGUUAGUACUUGGAUGGGAGACCGCCUGGGAAUACCAGGUGCUGUAAGCA
Molecule: ribosomal RNA, 119 nt
Organism: Oncorhynchus kisutch (coho salmon)
Lineage: Eukaryota; Metazoa; Chordata; Actinopteri; Salmoniformes; Salmonidae
Source: Ensembl